RNAcentral lists this ribosomal RNA (506 nucleotides) under uncultured bacterium. RNAcentral describes it as "partial 16S ribosomal RNA". It matches the Rfam family "Bacterial small subunit ribosomal RNA", at positions 29 to 523 of the family's 1533-position model. The record is from RNAcentral.
AGUGAACGCUGGCGGCAGGCCUAACACAUGCAAGUCGAACGGCAGCACAGGAGAGCUUGCUCUCUGGGUGGCGAGUGGCGGACGGGUGAGGAAUAUAUCGGAAUCUACCCUUUCGUGGGGGAUAACGUAGGGAAACUUACGCUAAUACCGCAUACGAACUGAGGUUGAAAGCGGCGGACCGCAAGGCGUCGCGCGGAUGGAUGAGCCGAUAUCCGAUUAGCUAGUUGGCGGGGUAAAGGCCCACCAAGGCGACGAUCGGUAGCUGGUCUGUGAGGAUGGUCAGCCACACUGGAACUGAGACACGGUCCAGACUCCUACGGGAGGCAGCAGUGGGGAAUAUUGGACAAUGGGCGCAAGCCUGAUCCAGCCAUGCCGCGUGUGUGAAGAAGGCCUUCGGGUUGUAAAGCACUUUUGUUGGGAAAGAAAAGCGGUCGGUUAAUACCCGGUCGUUCUGACGGUACCCAAAGAAUAAGCACCGGCUAACUUCGUGCCAGCCGCCGCCGUAA